UUCUUAAAACUACCUUUAUGUGCAGCAUAGUUACUAGGUCAAAUCAUGCUUUAUUAUUAAAACAUGGCUUGCAGACUUUUAACCUAGUAACUAUGCUGCACACAAAGGUUGUUUUAAGAAUCA
RNAcentral lists this microRNA precursor (123 nucleotides) under Medicago truncatula (barrel medic). RNAcentral describes it as "miRNA gene13953". The record is from RNAcentral. Lineage: Eukaryota; Viridiplantae; Streptophyta; Magnoliopsida; Fabales; Fabaceae.